RNAcentral lists this long non-coding RNA (1289 nucleotides) under Meleagris gallopavo (turkey). RNAcentral describes it as "lncRNA (ENSMGAG00000021082.1)". The record is from RNAcentral. Lineage: Eukaryota; Metazoa; Chordata; Aves; Galliformes; Phasianidae.
AAUCCCAAGUAGGCCUUUGCAGGAGAGAUUCUUUUAUGGGAGAUUUUUCUUCCAGCAUACCCUAAGUAGGCCUUGUGGGAGUUGCAGCACAGCCAAAACACAGGUGACUACUUGUGUUUCAGCUGCUGCAAUUGAGCAGCUUCUCUUAAGAGGUGUGAGUGGCACAUUUGCUGAAACCCGGGCAGUGUCUGAGCUGUUUGAGCUCUCUCUCCCAUGACAGACAGCAAGAAAACAUCACAGUAGAAGCCAGCUGGGCCACCUUACAGCUAUUUGGUGUUUUCUCUAACCCCAGCACUAUUUAACUCAGUAAAGCACUUCAUCUUGUAGAGUCUGACAGUCUGGGAGUGGAGAAAAGGUGGUUCAGUAUCUCAGCCCCAGUUCUACUCUGGUUCCUAUUGCAGUGGGGCACUGGGGACAUGCAUUGGUGUGAGCCCUGUGCCAUGAUCCUGCCUUUGGGGCAGCAGCAGUGACAUUUGGGCAUGUUCCUCACUGUGGGGAAGCAUCACGAGGCUGCCAGGUCUUCAGAGAAUCUCACAUUCUCACCUGACACAGUCAGUUGAUGAAGCCUGUUAACAUCUGGGCUGAGAUGAAAAGCUGUAGUGCAGCUGUGUCAAGUGUCAAGUCAUGAUUGCAUUGCCACUCUAUUUCUUUGGAUAAUACAGCAGAUCCACAGCAAUUAUUUUUGAAUGCAGUCUCUGUAACUGCAGAGCAGUAAUGUGAAAUAUUUACUAUUUUGUUUGCCUCAUGCCAAGUGAGUUUUCACUCAAUUUGUCAUUAACACUGCUGUCCUCUUCUGAGGGAAGUGUUUAUUUAUGUGAACGGCUCUUCAGUAAUUUUGUGUUUUCUACAGGAAUAGGUGCUGGCAUCAUCAUUCAAUUUCAUUGACCACAAAAAUCUGCGCUGAUGAAGCUGUGGGACUGACGGCGGAUGUGAGAGACAGGAGGACAGAUCUCAUGCUCGGACAAUAACUGGUCUCAAAGGAGGAAGAAAAUAUUGCCUGGAGAUCUGACUGCUGACCCUGAGGAAAAUCUCCUGACUUUUUUCCACAGUAACUGUUCCAAAGUGUGGCCAUUUUCAGAGAUUACCAGUUUCCUGAAAACCCUUUUUUCUCCCACUGUGUUUAAUAUAAAAUACUUUUCUACAGCCUACAAAAAAAGGCUAAUCCAAAAAGUGAAAGCCAAGUCCUUUGCUCUUCCCUGUGCUGAGCCUCAAUGGAGAGAAACACACUCCCCCAGCAGCAAGCACGUCGUACUGCUGUCUGCAGCCUGGCUCAUGCAGGACAGGCAGGC